Molecule: long non-coding RNA, 2874 nt
Organism: Dermochelys coriacea (leatherback sea turtle)
Lineage: Eukaryota; Metazoa; Chordata; Testudines; Dermochelyidae
Exons: 3
Source: RefSeq, a predicted model, not a curated record
AUGUGGCCCGUGGGCUGUAGUUUGCCCACCUUUGAUCUUGACUGAAAGCAUCUUGUCCAGUGGGCAUUACCCAGGUAUAACUCCAUUUGAAAUACAGUUACAUAGUCAACGUUCAUAAUUUCAGACACAAAAAUGGUACAUGCAAACAAAUAGAAUAAUCAUAUUCAGCAAGUGAUAACUUUUCCAAGGACACCUUACAUGACUUAUCCUGCAUAACAUAUAUAAUAAUUAUAUCUUAAUCAAUCAUAAUAAUAUCACUGUAAAGAAUAUGGGGUGCAGCGUCCCACCUAGUUUAACAAACUGUGGCUAUAUAGAGAAUGGUUAUUUACCUUUUAGUAACUGUGGUUCUUGAAGAUGUUAUCUUUGGGUCCUUCUCUAGAAGACUGAUAAGCAAUGCUCCAUAUGGAAGACUGCCACUAACUAAAAAGGUGUCUGAAAGAGUGCCCUACCAAAUUUGACUUCUGAUGUUGUGGCCAGGUUGAGGGCAUAGUGUUUAACAAAAGCAAGGGAUUACUCCAUGUAGCUGCCUUGGAAAUCUCAGAUCUGGGGAUGUUUCUAAAGCAUGCAGAGAAGGCAACCUGUGCUUCAGUACAAUGUUAAUGUUUGGAGGAAGAUGUGUAAUAGCCAUGUGAUAGCAGAUGGAAAUACACUUCGUAAUCCAUUUAGAAAUUCUUUCAGAGGAGAUGACAUUGACCUUUAAAAACACCAGAGAUAGCAACAAAAAGAUAGGGCAUUUGUCUGAAAGGCUUUGUUCUAUCAAGAUAAUAUAAUGUCCAAGGUGUGGAGUUUUUUUCCCUGGAAAGAAAUGAGGUUUUGGAAAGAAAAUGAGUAAAAUAAUAGUUGGAGUCAAAUUAAAAUGACACAAUUUUGAGAAUAAAUUUUGAAUGAGGUUUUGACACAACCUUGUCUGUGUGGAAUAUUGGGUAUGGGGGUCAGCUAUGAGAGCUCGUAGUUCACUUACUUAUGGCUAACUUAUGGUGACUAAGAUGACUAUCUUGAGAGUGAGGUGGUGUAGAGAACAGUCAGUGAGAGGCUAGAAGGACCUACUUCAAAGCUAUGACAAGUUUCCGAAGAGAUCUGCCUUUGAUCAACCAAUCAUCUAGUUAUGGGUAGACAUGAUGUCCUACCACGAGCUAGGCAUUUCAUGAAGACUCUUGGUUCUAUGGAAAGAGCACAUUGUAGAACAUUGUACUGGUAAUAAUUGGGCCCUACUCUGAAUUGCUGGUACUUCCUGUGUGCCGGCUGGUUGGCAAUGUGGAAGUAUGUGUCUUGAAGGCUGAGAGCCACAAGCCAUUGUUGUGUCUGAAGGGAAGGAACGAUGGAGGCAAGUGUUAUCAUCCUGAGUCUGAGACUGCAUAUGUAUUUGUUCAGUCUUCUCAGUUCUAGGAAAGGCAAAGACCCCCUUUUUUCUUCAGGAUAAGGAAAUAUUAGGAAAUCCAGAGGCACCCCUUCUAUAGCUCUGAGUCACAGCCAGGAAGCCACUUUUGCUUUUGGCUGUUUUUUGUGAGAAAGUUCCCAGAAGACGGAUAAGGAUGGGUAAAGCCUGAAAUUGGAUGGAAUCCAUGGGAGACAACUUUCAGCACCCAUCUGUCCAUGUGAGCAUGCUCAGUAGUAGCCAAACAACAAAUCUGGUGGGGGUACGUGACCCUGCCUGCCCCGCACACAUCACCUCAUUCCAAGUAGUUAGCCAAAAGUUGGGGUCCUGAGGGUGGUUUCUGUUAGAAGGAGAAAUUAGUGAUGGAGAGUCAACCCUGACAAGGUCUGAAUUGGCCCUACCUGUUAACCCCAGGACAGGCUGCAGAUGGAGGAGAGCCAGAGCUGAUAAGCUGUAAUUGAUGAUGAAGCCCAGCUGGGCAGAGCCAGGCUGUGUUGGUAUAUAAUCAGGAAGUGGCGAGUAAGAAGGAGCUGCAGGAAGAAACAGUGCAGCUAUGUCCUAGAGAGGGAUCUAGAAUACAGAUUCUGGCAAGAACCUGAGGAAAACGUGAAGUAGUCACAGGAGACAAAGGAGGUUCCAUUGGUAAACCCAGGGUGGACCAGAAAAGAGCGAAAGGAAGGUAGGAAAGAGCCUAACGAAACAGCAACAGGUCUGGGAUUAUUGGUCAUAGGAUUGCUAGGCUGGAACCUGGAGUAGUGGACAGACUCAAUUUUCUCUACCAGUUGCUGGGGAAGUGGCACAGUGUGGGCAGUGGAACAGACUUCCUGUGACAGAUCAUCCGGUGGCAUUUUGAUAUCCUGGAAAAGGCCAAGCCAAAAAAGGAAGCAUUCUGAGUUACAAAGAGGAAGCAAUCAAGCCCAGAGAGAGAUGGAGAGACGGGGCAAGCAACCAAAGGAGAGGGCAUCAGACUGUUCAAGAGCUAAUCCCCAGAGGCAGCCACAAACAGGCACCACAGCAAUGACCAUUUUACUUUCCACAUAAAACCAAAGGAAAAUCAAGAUCACUGGCAGUUAUGUUUGAUUAGAAACUUACGAAAGAAGUAAGACCAGUAAAGCAGGUUUUCCAACCAUUCUUGACUGUAAUGAGGAGGAUGAGCCAAGAUCACCUGAAGAAGCAAUAUGCAAACUAUAUGGGGCUCCUGUUGUGGAAGCACUGCAAACUUAUUUAGCCAAGCAUGAUUCUGAAGCUUUGAAGGGGAGGACUUUAAUUUUUUUUUCUUAGUUUAAGAAUUGGCAAAGCAACCUAAUUAUUAAAUUGCAUGAAACAACUUCUGUGUUUUUAUAUUUACUAAGAGUUAGCAUUAAUGAUUAUGCAAAAUAAAUCUGUCAUUAGUUGCUCUCUAUUUGCAUUGUGCCUGUUAAUAUGCUGCUGUUCAGACUAGGGCAGGGUAUAACGAGCAAUUCUACUUCUGAAAUAAAAAUUCUAUAUGUGAAACUACA